Molecule: long non-coding RNA, 2208 nt
Organism: Felis catus (domestic cat)
Lineage: Eukaryota; Metazoa; Chordata; Mammalia; Carnivora; Felidae
Exons: 2
Source: RefSeq, a predicted model, not a curated record
UCUGUCCCUCUCCGACUUGCAAACAUUCUCUGUCUCAAAAUAAGUAAAUGAAAAAAAAACAUGUUAAAAAAUUAAUAAAUAAAAUUAUUAAUCUAAAAUUUCCAAUUCACAUCAAGGGGAAACUAGAAGACCUAUGUUUUAAAUAACUGACUCAACUAAUAAAGAAAAAUGUGUCACUCACCCAACGACAGCAUAUUGUUGUCCCUCUACAAUGAGAACUUCAGCUGGCUUUCUUUCUUCCGUAACUAGAGAGUAAAGCAUAUAACAAAGAGAGACAUAGGAACAAGACUAAACAAAUUAUUAAAGUAAAAAUUUAAACUAGGAAAAAAAUGAAGAAGAUAGUUCCAAUUUAGGGCUGGUAGGGCUGGAAACUAUCUUAUAUUCAAAAACAAAUGUCUACUUCUUAGGAAGCAAUUUGGCACGGAAUAAAGUAUAUUGGGUUUGGAAUCAGAGAAAUAUGGAUUUGAGUUCCAGUACUGCCAAUCACGGGAUGCAAGAACUUGUGCCAAUUAGUUAACUUCUUUCAGUGUCAACGUCUGUAUCCAUUAAACAUGGAUAACGGAAACUAUCAGUGUUUUUGUUAACAACAGAGAUCAUGACUACAAACUGCCGAUCCUAGGUCUGCCCUAUGGUAGAUGAUCAGUGAGUAAAAAAAAAAUAAUAUAUUAGUUUGGAAAGGCAGAACUAGAAUUUCAACUGGUUGUCUAUAUUAUAAUUCUUAGAUUAUAAACUAAUUCCUAUACUCAAUAGAGAGAUAUAAUUUUCAAGACUUCAGUCCAGAAAUUAUUUUCAGCAUGUGGUAUUUCUUACCGUUAUAAAACAAAACUCAGCAUGUUGAAGUGAAAAGUAGAGUAGACUGGAUUAUUGUUCUUAAUCAGCCAAAUUAUUUAGAUUAUCAUGGGCCCAUUAUUAUGCUUCCCCAAGCCUCAAGUCCCUGACUUGACAUUAAAUAUCUACUUCCUCAUUUCCUUCAAGGAAAGAAAUUCAGUGUGACACAAUUUCAAAUUUCUAAUCUGUAUACCAGAUUAAAUUUUUGAAGAUAGGGACUGUGUCUUAACCAAUUCUCUACAUUACAGAGAAAACGGCAGAGCAUAGUAGUGAAAAGAAAGGGCCCUAAAGUCAGUCUGCCUGUAUCUGGAACUCAGCUCUACCACUUCCUAGCUCUGUAACCUUAGGCAAGUUGCCUAAUUUCUUUGCGCCUCACUUUCCAUAUUUGUUAACUGGGAAUACUAACAGUAUCUAGUUCAUGGGCCUAUAAAUAAGAACGCAAUGUGCUGAGAACAAACUGUCUAGCCUUAGGUAAGCAUUCAAUUAAUAUUAAUUGCUAUCCAUUAACUUUCAUUUCCCCAAUGCCUAGACAAGUAGCUAGUAACUCAUUAAUGAAUGGUGGUCAAUGAAUGAAUAAUAACCAAGGAUCCUUAACUUGGUAAGAACAAGUAAAAUGGUGAUGGACUUCUAAUAGCAUGUACUUUCUCACUCAGAGGAAAAAAUAAAAGUCUGGGACAGAAAUAGAGUUAUAAAAGAAACCUCUUAUCGUUAGUAUCCUCCAAAGAGAAAGUGAAAAUAAACAGUUCACUUUGGGGGUAAAAAAAAAAAGACACAUGGUUAAUUCAAUCACUCUAUAUCUAUCAUUUUAGUUCAAAAAUUGUUAUGCUUGCAUGAGAAUGGAUUGUAAAACUUUGAGCUGUUCAGGACAAAAACCGUCAUUGUCAUCUAGCACAGCAACUCACAAAGUGGAAAUAUACACUUAAGAAUACGGAAAUAAUGAGACAUCAUGUCUGCAACCUUUUGCCAAAUGAUUCAGAAAAAAAUAUUAUCAUGAGAGACAAAGAGAGAAGAAGGGAGCAAGAAAGAGAAAAAGGAAGAAUGGGAGAAAGAAGGCAAUGUGGUAAACUGUCAACAAAUGACUUUUUCGUACAAUUCUGGCAACUUUUCUGUAAAUCUGAAAUUAUUUCAAACUAAGUUUUAAAAAGUCAUGUUUGAAAAAAUGGUAUGAUCCGCUUGGAAAUUCAUGCCUUUGAAAAACUAAAUCCACAGAUCUUCACUGUAUACAAAAUACAAAGGCGUUAUAGGAAAAGAAAGAAAAAUAAACAAGGUAAUGCUGACCUGAUUUUCAGGACAAGUUCUGCCACCAGUGACUUUAAAUAAGUCAAAUAAAUGCUCUGAAAUAAGGGCAUUUAAUUAAAUGGUUCCUUUCCAGCCUUAAAA